RNAcentral lists this long non-coding RNA (1036 nucleotides) under Homo sapiens (human). RNAcentral's name for it is "non-protein coding lnc-PRAMEF11-3:3". The record is from RNAcentral. Lineage: Eukaryota; Metazoa; Chordata; Mammalia; Primates; Hominidae.
CGGCUGCAGCUCUGAAGACACGAGAGAGGGUACUUGGUUUGGGUUUGAAAAGGGAAGAGCGGUCUUGUAUGCAGUAGUCUGGCCGGACCGACACUGAGAGGCCCAGGUGUUUGGAAAGCAGGAAAGAGGAGGCCAGGAUUGUUCUCUGGGGCCGGACUGAGAAAUGCCUGAAGGAGACGACGGAGGAGAUCCGGCAGAUGGGCACUGAGUGCCAUUACUUCAUCUGUGAUGUGGGCAACCGGGAGGAGGUGUACCAGACGGCCAAGGCCGUCCGGGAGAAGGUCUGUAGCCUGGGAGGGUCUAUUCCUAGCACAGCUGACCACAGGCUAAUUCCGGGCAAAGAGAACAUUCUCAUGUGGCCUGGAAGAGAGCUCUGCUUAUGGCAGAAUGGCUUUGCCCGGGGCACCUUUGGGGACUCUCCCAUGAAGCUGGCCCCAGUUACAUAGGCAGGGAUUAGGGUUGAUUACGUAACAGGCGUAAUCAUCUGUUGUUCCCUUGGAAAUGUAGACCGUGUGGGUUUCUCUCCAGGACUGUGGCGGGGCAAAUGUCCCAUUGGCCUCUGGGAAAAUCCUUCUGACUCCAGUCAUCUGUUUGGGCUAAAUAUAUCAGUGACCUCCAAGAGAGGGAAACCCACCCUGACUGUCUGGCACGUGGUAAUGUUAACUGUUUUUAUGUCGCAGUAAACUCAUUUAUUAUAAAUAUGCUGUGUGCCAGGUACGGUGUGUGCCAUAAAUUAUUUCUCCUCCUCAGAACAGUCCUGGUGCGGCAUUAGCCCCAUCUCACAAAUCAAGACUGGCGCUCAGAGACGCAGUUCUCUUCCCCAGGCCCUGUGGCUGCUGGUGGUACGGCCAGGUGGCUGCUGGGCCUCUAUGUAUGCAGGAUAACUGGAACUAGGCUGGCAGAAAGUGGCCUGCGGGAAGGAAUAUCUAAGAAAAACUUGUAAAUAACACAUCAAUUGAUUGAUCAUAAAUGGACUCAGAAAUUACUCGUUCACUUAGGAGUAAGCCAUAUCCCUUUUAAAAAGUAUAUUGGACCG